RNAcentral lists this ribosomal RNA (558 nucleotides) under uncultured bacterium. RNAcentral's name for it is "partial 16S ribosomal RNA". It matches the Rfam family "Bacterial small subunit ribosomal RNA", at positions 355 to 935 of the family's 1533-position model. The record is from RNAcentral.
UGGGGAAUCUUAGACAAUGGGGGAAACCCUGAUCUAGCCAUGCCGCGUGAGCGAUGAAGGCCUUAGGGUUGUAAAGCUCUUUCAGCUGGGAAGAUAAUGACGGUACCAGCAGAAGAAGCCCCGGCUAACUCCGUGCCAGCAGCCGCGGUAAUACGGAGGGGGCUAGCGUUGUUCGGAAUUACUGGGCGUAAAGCGCACGUAGGCGGAUUAGUCAGUCAGAGGUGAAAUCCCAGGGCUCAACCCUGGAACUGCCUUUGAUACUGCUAGUCUUGAGGUCGAGAGAGGUGAGUGGAAUUCCGAGUGUAGAGGUGAAAUUCGUAGAUAUUCGGAGGAACACCAGUGGCGAAGGCGGCUCACUGGCUCGAUACUGACGCUGAGGUGCGAAAGCGCGGGGAGCAAAACAGGAUUAGAUACCCUGGUAGUCCACGCCGUAAACGAUGAAUGCCAGUCGUCGGGUUGCAUGCAAUUCGGUGACACACCUAACGGAUUAAGCAUUCCGCCUGGGGAGUACGGUCGCAAGAUUAAAACUCAAAUGAAUUGACGGGGUCAUAGCUGUUU